RNAcentral lists this ribosomal RNA (1708 nucleotides) under Gammaproteobacteria bacterium. Its description in RNAcentral is "partial 23S ribosomal RNA". It matches the Rfam family "Bacterial large subunit ribosomal RNA", at positions 1 to 1755 of the family's 2925-position model. The record is from RNAcentral. Lineage: Bacteria; Pseudomonadati; Pseudomonadota; Gammaproteobacteria.
GACCAAGCGAAUAAGCGCACAGGGCGGAUGCCUUGGCGGUAGAAGGCGAUGAAGGACGUGAAAAUCUGCGAUAAGCCUCGGGGAGCUGAUAAUAAGCUUUGAUCCGGGGAUUUCCGAAUGGGAAAACCCAGCUGUUUUUAACAGUUAUCAAGUACUGAAUACAUAGGUACUUGAGGCGAACCCAGGGAACUGAAACAUCUAAGUACCUGGAGGAAAAGAAAUCAACCGAGAUUCCCUAAGUAGCGGCGAGCGAAAGGGGACUAGCCCAGAUUCAACCAUCUUUAUUAAAUUAACAAAAUGUUCUGGAAAGUUCAGCCAUAGUAGGUGAUAGCCCUGUAUGUGAAAAUUUAAUAAAGUGUGAAUCGAUGAGUAGGACGAGGCACGUGAAACCUUGUUUGAAGAUAGGGGGACCAUCCUCUAAGGCUAAAUACUACCUACCGACCGAUAGUGAACCAGUACCGUGAGGGAAAGGCGAAAAGAACCCCGGCGAGGGGAGUGAAAUAGAACCUGAAACCGUGUGCGUACAAGCAGUAGGAGCCCAUUUAUUGGGUGACUGCGUACCUUUUGUAUAAUGGGUCAGUGAGUUACUUUUAGUGGCAAGCUUAACUUUCUUAGGGAGGCGAAGGGAAACCGAGUCUUAAUAGGGCGUUUAGUCGCUAGGAGUAGACCCGAAACCAGACGAUCUAUCCAUGGCCAGGGUGAAGGUGGGGUAAUACCUACUGGAGGCCCGAACCCACCUAUGUUGAAAAAUGGGGGGAUGAGCUGUGGAUAGGAGUGAAAGGCUAAUCAAGUCUGGAGAUAGCUGGUUCUCCCCGAAAACUAUUUAGGUAGUGCCUUAUGUAUUACUCUCGGGGGUAGAGCACUGUUUCGGCUAGGGGGACAUCCCGUCUUACCAACCCGAUGCAAACUCCGAAUACCGAGAAGUAGAGCAUAGGAGACACACAGCGGGUGCUAACGUCCGUUGUGGAGAGGGAAACAACCCAGAUCGCCAACUAAGGUCCCAAAAUCACAAUUAAGUGGGAAACGAAGUGAGAAGUCAAAGACAGCCAGGAGGUUGGCUUAGAAGCAGCCAUCCUUUAAAGAAAGCGUAACAGCUCACUGGUCAAGUCGACUUGCGCGGAAGAUUUAACGGGGCUAAAAUUGUGUACCGAAGUUGCGAAUGCUUAUCUUUUGAUAAGCGUGGUAGGGGAGCGUUCUGUAAGCCUGUGAAGGCGUACUGCGAGGUAUGCUGGAGGUAUCAGAAGUGAGAAUGCUGACAUGAGUAACGAUAAUGCGGGUGAAAAACCCGCACGCCGAAAACCCAAGGGUUCCUGCGCAACGCUAAUCGUCGCAGGGUUAGUCGGUUCCUAAGGCGAGACCGAAAGGUGUAGUCGAUGGACAACAGGUUAAUAUUCCUGUACCGCGUUUACUGCUAUGGGGGGACGGAGAAGGCUAAGCUUACCGGGUGUUGGUUAUCCCGGGAAAAGUAUGUAGGUAGGAAACUUUAGUAAAUCUGGGUUUCUAUUACUGAGGUACGAGACCAUCGAUUUUUUAAUCGAGAAGUAGCUGAUGCCAUGCUCCCAAGAAAAGCCUCUAAGCUUCAGGUAAAACGUGACCGUACCCCAAACCGACACAGGUGGGUGGGAUGAGAAUUCUAAGGCGCUUGAGAAAACUCUGGUGAAGGAACUAGGCAAAUUGGUACCGUAACUUCGGGAGAAGGUACGCCUUU